RNAcentral lists this transfer RNA (73 nucleotides) under Candidatus Ishikawaella capsulata Mpkobe. It matches the Rfam family "tRNA". From Rfam's summary of the family: Transfer RNA (tRNA) molecules are approximately 80 nucleotides in length. Their secondary structure includes four short double-helical elements and three loops (D, anti-codon, and T loops). Lineage: Bacteria; Pseudomonadati; Pseudomonadota; Gammaproteobacteria; Enterobacterales; Enterobacteriaceae. The record is from Rfam by way of RNAcentral.
GCGGGAAUAGCUCAGUUGGUAGAGUACGACCUUGCCAAGGUCGGGGUCGCGAGUUCGAGUCUCGUUUCCCGCU